AUCCAGUUGAUGAGUCCUAAAUAGGACGAAAUCUGUGUCUUGGAU
RNAcentral lists this non-coding RNA (45 nucleotides) under Schistosoma bovis. The record is from RNAcentral. Lineage: Eukaryota; Metazoa; Platyhelminthes; Trematoda; Strigeidida; Schistosomatidae. RNAcentral also lists the same sequence under 1 other name.